GAUGACUGGAAAUUGGGGCACCCAUGGUGUCUUAGAGGAUUGGAAAAAGAACUGUGGUCAGCCACCUAUCUGAGCACUGUUAACAGAUUAGAUAAAGGAUCAGUGUACCCUGCCUUAAAAAGCCAGCUGCAAUGAAAUGCUUUUGAAUGGAGAAGCAUCUGAAAGUUGAGGAUAUCAGAGAAGCUUCCUGCUGUCUGGAAAGGAGAUCAGUUAUGUCUAGGGAAACAGAACUGACAAAUAACCAAGGUACUCCUUGGUAGGAGCCCCACGCCCACCACAAUUUUAUGAGGGAGGAGUUGUCUACAAAAUGUAUAAUACACAGAUCCCAUGCAGAGGAGUUACAGGGAGGAUUUAAUACACAAGAAGAGAGAUUCCUGGUGUCCUGAGGGGCAGUUCCCUCCCUGCUGGCUACUUGAGUGAGCUAUACAUCUUCAGUCCCCAGAUGAGGCCUAUAUGGAAAAGGACGACAUCGAGCAAAGGGCAUAGGUGGAAACGCCCUCCCUACAACACAUCAUCUGCUACUCUCAGCUCAAAGGUUUGAAGAGAGCAAGAUUUACUUCAGAUAGUUCGUGUCCCUGUCACCAUCCCCAUCUCCAUUUCUGAGAGGAGCGUACAGGAAGGAGAAAAGAAGGUGGCUAUCAUUAGGAAAUAAGAUAAUACAUACAUAGAAAAUUAAAUGGUAGUGAAUGAAUAUUAAAAGCCUUUAGGCUAGAAAAAGUUGUAAAGAAGCAAAGAGAGGCCUGAGAGUGGAGGCUACCGCAGAGGAGCUGCCUGCCGUUGCUGGAUAAUCUAUUUUGCAAACAGGGCUAAGAAUGGCAAUCUGAUUAUCUGGCAAAAAAUCUUAAUGUAUAAAGAGGCUAUGUUACCUUAGCCCAACAGAAGACUAUAUCCUGAAAUCCUAAAGGUUCAGAAUACCAGAAUAUGAGCCCAGUGUUCAAGUCAAGAGACCAAGAGCCUUGGAAUCAGACACACUUGAAUAAAAAUUGAAAUUCUUUCACUUAU
Hyaena hyaena (striped hyena) is the source of this 1002-nucleotide long non-coding RNA. RefSeq lists it as uncharacterized. The record is from RefSeq and is a predicted model, not a curated record. The transcript is spliced from 5 exons. NCBI's taxonomy places the organism in Eukaryota, Metazoa, Chordata, Mammalia, Carnivora, Hyaenidae.